UGAGGAAUAUUGGUCAAUGGGCGAGAGCCUGAACCAGCCAAGUAGCGUGCAGGAUGACGGCCCUAUGGGUUGUGAACUGCUUUUAUGUGGGGAUAAAGUGCGUGACGUGUCAUGCAUUGCAGGUACCACAUGAAUAAGGACCGGCUAAUUCCGUGCCAGCAGCCGCGGUAAUACGGAAGGUCCGGGCGUUAUCCGGAUUUAUUGGGUUUAAAGGGAGCGUAGGCUGUCUAUUAAGCGUGUUGUGAAAUUUACCGGCUCAACCGGUGGCUUGCAGCGCGAACUGGUCGACUUGAGUAUGCAGGAAGUAGGCGGAAUUCAUGGUGUAGCGGUGAAAUGCUUAGAUAUCAUGACGAACUCCGAUUGCGCAGGCAGCUUACUGUAGCAUAACUGACGCUGAUGCUCGAAAGUGCGGGUAUCAAACAGG
This 424-nucleotide ribosomal RNA is filed under the name Fusobacteriota bacterium. Its description in RNAcentral is "Fusobacteria bacterium partial 16S ribosomal RNA". It matches the Rfam family "Bacterial small subunit ribosomal RNA", at positions 355 to 776 of the family's 1533-position model. Lineage: Bacteria; Fusobacteriati; Fusobacteriota. The record is from RNAcentral.